This 1547-nucleotide ribosomal RNA is filed under the name uncultured Glomeromycotina. Its description in RNAcentral is "eukaryotic LSU rRNA". The stretch from base 763 to 1547 matches the Rfam family "Eukaryotic large subunit ribosomal RNA", at positions 1 to 695 of the family's 3401-position model. Lineage: Eukaryota; Fungi; Glomeromycota. The record is from RNAcentral.
UAUUGCUCUUUAACGAGGAAUCCCUAGUAAGCACAAGUCAUCAGCUUGUGCUGAUUACGUCCCUGCCCUUUGUACACACCGCCCGUCGCUACUACCGAUUGAAUGGCUUAGUGAGGCCCUCGGAUCGGCGCUCGGAGACUGGCAACAGUUUCCGUUUGUUGAGAAGUUGGUCAACCUUGGUCAUUUAGAGGAAGUAAAAGUCGUAACAAGGUUUCCGUAGGUGAACCUGCGGAAGGAUCAUUAUUAUUUGGGUCGGGUUUACUUCUCAGUUGCUGUCCUUAGUGUCCUAGUAUAUUUAAGAAGUAAACUUUUACCAAAUAAUCCUAUAUUUCUCCUAUAGGAGCAAGAUAAACUUAUAUUUAAAACCCACACUUGAAUGUAUUUUAUAUAUUUUUUGAAUGAUAAAAUUAAAGAUCACUUUCAACAACGGAUCUCUUGGCUCUCGCAUCGAUGAAGAACGUAGCGAAGUGCGAUAAGUAAUGUGAAUUGCAGAAUUCCGUGAAUCAUCGAAUCUUUGAACGCAAAUUGCACACUCUGGUAUUCCGGAGAGUAUGCCUGUUUGAGGGUCAGUCUAAUAAAAAUCGGGGUUGUUGCUGCCUUUGGUAGUGACGCUUCGGAAUUGGGUAGUCUUUACCUCUGGUUUAAGUGACCUAAAAUUUUGUAUGAUUUUUCGAACGUAUUUAAUUUUUUUUACAUACGUUUGUGAUAUCGGAUACUAGAUGUGGUCAUUUCCAUGAUUCGCGUCUAUAAUUUUUCAUCAAAUGACCUCAAAUCAGGUAAGAGUACCCGCUGAACUUAAGCAUAUCAAUAAGCGGAGGAAAAGAAAAUAACCAUGAUUCCCUUAGUAACGGCGAGUGAAGGGGGAUAAGCUCAAAUUUUAAAUCUGACUAGGUUUUACCUAUCAGAGUUGUAUUUUGAAGAAGCGUUUUCCGCGUCUCGGUUGGCCCAAGUCCUUUGGGAUAAGGCAUCAUGGAGGGUGAGAAUCCCGUUCGGUUGACCUUAUGACGUUUUACGAUACGCUUUCAAAGAGUCGAGUUGUUUGGGAUUGCAGCUCAAAAUGGGAGGUAAAUUUCUCCUAAGGCUAAAUAUAAGCGAGAGACCGAUAGCGAACAAGUACCGUGAGGGAAAGAUGAAAAGAACUUUGAAAAGAGAGUUAAAUAGUAUGUGAAAUUGUUGAAAGGGAAACGAUUGAAGUCAGUCAUGUCGGCGAGAAUCAACUUGGAAUAACUUCAAAGUGCAUUUCUUUGCUUGGCAGGUUAGCGUCGAUUUUGAACGUCAUAAAAUGAUUGGGGGAAGGUAGCUCUUUCGAGAGUGUUAUAGCUCUUGGUUAAUGUGAUGUUUGGGAUCGAGGUUUGCAACGGAUACCUUUUAGGUUAGCCGCCUGGCCUCUGAUUCGAUGUCGGAUUAUAGACAGCAUGUUGACUAUGAUCUGAUUAUUGGUCAAAAGGUUAGAGCGAGCAUAAAUUCGUUAAGGACGCUGACGUAAUGGCUUUAAACGACCCGUCUUGAAACACGGACCAAGGAGUCUAACAUAUAUGCGAGUGUUA